Molecule: ribosomal RNA, 489 nt
Filed under: Triticum aestivum (bread wheat)
Lineage: Eukaryota; Viridiplantae; Streptophyta; Magnoliopsida; Poales; Poaceae
Description: partial small subunit ribosomal RNA
Source: RNAcentral
AUGAUAUGCUUCUUCGCAGUCGAGUGGCACUUUGUAGACCGUGUGUCAAGACAAUUUGGAAGAAGACAAGGUAUUCCAAUUGAGGAGAGCAAGGAGGAAAUGCUAUCUCUGCAUCGGUUCGAUCGAAGGAACAAUCAGGAUAUAUCAGAUUGGGCAAACAAGCACCGUGCGUGGAUAGAAAUUUGGAAUCAAAGAGAGACGUUAGUGCAGUCAGAGAAUAGACCUCACAAUCAGUCAGCAUAUCAGAAGUAUGAAGUGUGGUAUGCGGAUCGUUACCGGUUAAAGCUCAAGCCUGGUUGGACUCACGAGGAGUGGUCGGAGUUGGUGUCUGAAGACCCGGAGACUGCAGAAGGUUAUCAUACCUUCAACACGGCUGUGAGAGACACCAGAGGGGCUCACGUUGACUAUGCACCAAUGCAUGACGAAAUGGUAGUCAGUUUGACCUAUUCUAACAUACUUGCAUCAUGUUGUCCUCUUUCAAAUACAUAA